This 204-nucleotide ribosomal RNA is filed under the name uncultured bacterium. Its description in RNAcentral is "partial 16S ribosomal RNA". It matches the Rfam family "Bacterial small subunit ribosomal RNA", at positions 15 to 225 of the family's 1533-position model. The record is from RNAcentral.
GAUCCUGGCUCAGAUUGAACGCUGGCGGCAGGCCUAACACAUGCAAGUCGAACGGUAACAGGAAGAAGCUUGCUUCUUUGCUGACGAGUGGCGGACGGGUGAGUAAUGUCUGGGAAACUGCCUGAUGGAGGGGGGAUAACUACUGGAAACGGUAGCUAAUACCGCAUAACGUCGCAAGACCAAAGAGGGGGACUCGUCGCUCUC